Small nucleolar RNA from Tupaia belangeri (northern tree shrew), 124 nucleotides. The record is from Ensembl. Lineage: Eukaryota; Metazoa; Chordata; Mammalia; Scandentia; Tupaiidae.
UUCCUGGGUCCCCAGUGCAGGCCUCAGAUGAGCCCACAGUAUUUUUCUUAUAUGAUCAGACCCCAUUGUGAGCCUGAGAGAACUAUGAAAAUGUGGCAGGAGAAAUGGGGCUGGGAACCCAGCA